Molecule: ribosomal RNA, 212 nt
Filed under: Bacillus licheniformis
Lineage: Bacteria; Bacillati; Bacillota; Bacilli; Caryophanales; Bacillaceae
Description: partial 16S ribosomal RNA
Rfam family: Bacterial small subunit ribosomal RNA
Source: RNAcentral
UGCAGUCGAGCGGACCGACGGGAGCUUGCUCCCUUAGGUCAGCGGCGGACGGGUGAGAAACACGUGGGUAACCUGCCUGUAAGACUGGGAUAACUCCGGGAAACCGGGGCUAAUACCGGAUGCUUGAUUGAACCGCAUGGUUCAAUUAUAAAAGGUGGCUUUUACCUACCACUUACAUAGGGACCCGGGGCGAAUUACCUAGUUGCGGAGCC